GACGAACGCUGGCGGCGUGCCUAAUACAUGCAAGUAGAACGCUGAAGAGAGGAGCCUGCUCUUCUUGGAUGAGUUGCGAACGGGUGAGUAACGCGUAGGUAACCUGCCUUGUAGCGGGGGAUAACUAUUGGAAACGAUAGCUAAUACCGCAUAACAAUGGAUGACACAUGUCAUUUAUUUGAAAGGGGCAAUUGCUCCACUACAAGAUGGACCUGCGUUGUAUUAGCUAGUAGGUGAGGUAAUGGCUCACCUAGGCGACGAUACAUAGCCGACCUGAGGGGGUGAUCGGCCCCACGGGGACUGGAACACGGCCAGGACUACUACGGGAGGAAGAAGUGGGGAAUCUUCGGCAAUGGGGGCAACCCUGACCGAGCAACGCCGGGUGGGUGAAGAAGGUUUUCGGAUCGUAAAGCUCUUUUGUAAGUCAAGAAGGGGUGUGAGAGGGGAAAGUUCACCCUGGGGGGGGAGUUAACCAGAAAGGGAGGGCGAACUACGG
This 496-nucleotide ribosomal RNA is filed under the name uncultured bacterium. Its description in RNAcentral is "partial 16S ribosomal RNA". It matches the Rfam family "Bacterial small subunit ribosomal RNA", at positions 28 to 506 of the family's 1533-position model. The record is from RNAcentral.